UUCAAAUGUUUCCGCACGUCAGUGAGUAGCAGCGUCGCAAUCCUUUGUCGACGACGUGUUCUGUGGCCCUGGAAAAUGCCUUGACGCUCGGGGACGGCCGGUAGCUCGGCGAUUCCUCGCUUGGCGCACCAUUGAAAACCGGCGGUCAUGCAGCAGUGUACGCUGCCAGCGUAUUUUUUAUUGCCAGAGGUAGCAAACAGCAGUGCCACAACAAACAGUGGAGUGCUGACCAUGCAGUCCAGAAGGUGGCUGAGGCAACAUCUUCAAAAAGCAGUGCUACAAGGAUGUGAGCAGCAGUUUCCUUCAACGAACGGGUCAAAUUCAUGGAAGCCACGUGCCUGCUGCUUCUGGCCUACACAAACAUGCAGCCACCAUAGUAAAGUUCUU
Rhipicephalus sanguineus (brown dog tick) is the source of this 387-nucleotide long non-coding RNA. RefSeq lists it as uncharacterized. The record is from RefSeq and is a predicted model, not a curated record. The transcript is spliced from 3 exons. NCBI's taxonomy places the organism in Eukaryota, Metazoa, Arthropoda, Arachnida, Ixodida, Ixodidae.